RNAcentral lists this ribosomal RNA (424 nucleotides) under uncultured bacterium. RNAcentral describes it as "bacterial SSU rRNA". It matches the Rfam family "Bacterial small subunit ribosomal RNA", at positions 376 to 793 of the family's 1533-position model. The record is from RNAcentral.
CGCAAGCCUGAUGCAGCCAUGCCGCGUGUGUGUAAGAAGGCCUUCGGGUUGUAAAGCACUUUCAGUCGUGAGAAGGUGGUAGUGUUAAUAGCACUAUCAUUUGACGUUAGCGACAGAAGAAGCACCGGCUAACUCCGUGCCAGCAGCCGCGGUAAUACGGAGGGUGCGAGCGUUAAUCGGAAUUACUGGGCGUAAAGCGCAUGCAGGUGGUUUGUUAAGUCAGAUGUGAAAGCCCGGGGCUCAACCUCGGAAUAGCAUUUGAAACUGGCAGACUAGAGUACUGUAGAGGGGGUAGAAUUUCAGGUGUAGCGGUGAAAUGCGUAGAGAUCUGAAGGAAUACCGGUGGCGAAGGCGGCCCCCUGGACAGAUACUGACACUCAGAUGCGAAAGCGUGGGGAGCAAACAGGAUUAGAUACCCUGGUAG